GAUGAACGCUGGCGGCGUGCUUAACACAUGCAAGUCGAACGAGAGAAGAUCGGUGCUUGCACUGAUCCGAUCGAGUGGCGGACGGGUGAGUAACGCGUGGGUAACCUGCCUCAUACAGGGGAAUAACAGUUGGAAACGGCUGCUAAAACCGCAUAAGCGCACAGUAUUGCAUGAUACAGUGUGAAAAACUCCGGUGGUAUGAGAUGGACCCGCGUCUGAUUAGCUAGUUGGUGAGGUAACGGCCCACCAAGGCAACGAUCAGUAGCCGGCCUGAGAGGGUGAACGGCCACAUUGGGACUGAGACACGGCCCAAACUCCUACGGGAGGCAGCAGUGGGGAAUAUUGCACAAUGGGGGAAACCCUGAUGCAGCGACGCCGCGUGAGUGAUGAAGUAUUUCGGUAUGUAAAGCUCUAUCAGCAGGGAAGAUAAUGACGG
Molecule: ribosomal RNA, 436 nt
Filed under: uncultured bacterium
Lineage: Bacteria
Description: bacterial SSU rRNA
Rfam family: Bacterial small subunit ribosomal RNA
Source: RNAcentral